GCGUGGAUGAUGAAGGCCUUAGGGUUGUAAAGUCCUUUCGGCGGGGACGAUGAUGACGGUACCCGCAGAAGAAGCCCCGGCUAACUUCGUGCCAGCAGCCGCGGUAAUACGAAGGGGGCUAGCGUUGUUCGGAAUUACUGGGCGUAAAGGGCGCGUAGGCGGCCCUCCAAGUCAGAUGUGAAAGCCCCGGGCUUAACCUGGGAAUUGCAUUUGAGACUGUGGGGCUUGAGUUUCGGAGAGGUGGGUGGAAUUCCCAGUGUAGAGGUGAAAUUCGU
RNAcentral lists this ribosomal RNA (275 nucleotides) under uncultured bacterium. RNAcentral describes it as "partial 16S ribosomal RNA". It matches the Rfam family "Bacterial small subunit ribosomal RNA", at positions 399 to 691 of the family's 1533-position model. The record is from RNAcentral.